This 279-nucleotide unclassified non-coding RNA is filed under the name plant metagenome. Its description in RNAcentral is "partial contains small subunit ribosomal RNA, internal transcribed spacer 1, and 5.8S ribosomal RNA". The record is from RNAcentral.
UUUCCGUAGGUGAACCUGCGGAAGGAUCAUUAUUGUAUAUUCCAGGAACGAGGGCUGUAGCUGACCCUUAAAGCGCGGCACGCCCGAGCGCCCUCACACACAUCCAUCUCACCUCUACGUGCACCACGGCGUGCGUCCCCCUUAGCCUUAAUCGGAGGGGGGCUUACGUCUUCACUCAAACUUAGUAUUAAGAGUAGCAUGUAUUUUUUGUUUUUUCGAUGACUCAAUGAAUACCACUUUCAACAACGGAACCCUUGGUUCUCACUCCGAUGAAGAAGG